GGCAAGACGUGGAGGCUUGGGGGCUCGUUGGGGCUGGACAACUCAGAGGCUUGAUAGAAAAUUGAGGAUGGGACUUGAGAAGCUAGCUUGCAAGUUAUGAUUAAACAGGUUUCAAGUUUGGUUCAUAGUCUCUCUCUUUGUUUCUUCUUGGCUGGUUGUUUAUCGAAUACAUUUUAGCGCCCCCUACUGGUUAAAAGGUUCAGUUUCAUGAAAAAUAAUAAUAGGAUGGAGGAACUGUCAUUUCUUUUAACAACAGAAGGUAAUAUUCUGUUAGGAAACUAAUUUACUAUCAUGAGAUAUUGUUUCUUUUUUCUAUUGUUUUGAAAGCAGAUUUUUUAAAUGGAUUUGGUUCAGAAUUAGCCUUAAUAUUAGUACUAAUUGGAAUUGUUUUAGUGGGACACUCCAAAUUUCAAUGAAUAAUCAUUCCAAAAGCCUUGCUUUAAUUUAUGCAUCAUGUAGGACAAAUCAUGAUGACUAAUUAUAUAUAUGCUAUAGUUAUAACCA
Molecule: long non-coding RNA, 504 nt
Organism: Humulus lupulus (European hop)
Lineage: Eukaryota; Viridiplantae; Streptophyta; Magnoliopsida; Rosales; Cannabaceae
Exons: 3
Source: RefSeq, a predicted model, not a curated record